ACUCUAAGGAGACUGCCGGUGGACAAACCGGAGGAAGGUGGGGAUGACGUCAAGUCAUCAUGGCCCUUACGGCCUGGGCUACACACGUGCUACAAUGGUCGGUACAAAGGGUUGCCAAGCCGCGAGGUGGAGCUAAUCCCAUAAAACCGAUCGUAGUCCGGAUCGCAGUCUGCAACUCGACUGCGUGAAGUCGGAAUCGCUAGUAAUCGUGAAUCAGAAUGUCACGGUGAAUACGUUCCCGGGCCUU
This 247-nucleotide ribosomal RNA is filed under the name uncultured Pseudomonas sp. RNAcentral's name for it is "partial 16S ribosomal RNA". It matches the Rfam family "Bacterial small subunit ribosomal RNA", at positions 1137 to 1382 of the family's 1533-position model. Lineage: Bacteria; Pseudomonadati; Pseudomonadota; Gammaproteobacteria; Pseudomonadales; Pseudomonadaceae. The record is from RNAcentral.